This 496-nucleotide ribosomal RNA is filed under the name uncultured bacterium. Its description in RNAcentral is "partial 16S ribosomal RNA". It matches the Rfam family "Bacterial small subunit ribosomal RNA", at positions 29 to 507 of the family's 1533-position model. The record is from RNAcentral.
AUGAACGCUGGCGGCGUGCCUAAUACAUGCAAGUCGCGCGAACGGACGAGGAGCUUGCUUCUCUGAUGUUAGCGGCGGACGGGUGAGUAACACGUGGAUAACCUACCUAUAAGACUGGGAUAACUUCGGGAAACCGGAGCUAAUACCGGAUAAUAUUUUGAACCGCAUGGUUCAAAAGUGAAAGACGGUCUUGCUGUCACUUAUAGAUGGAUCCGCGCUGCAUUAGCUAGUUGGUAAGGUAACGGCUUACCAAGGCAACGAUGCAUAGCCGACCUGAGAGGGUGAUCGGCCACACUGGAACUGAGACACGGUCCAGACUCCUACGGGAGGCAGCAGUAGGGAAUCUUCCGCAAUGGGCGAAAGCCUGACGGAGCAACGCCGCGUGAGUGAUGAAGGUCUUCGGAUCGUAAAACUCUGUUAUUAGGGAAGAACAUAUGUGUAAGUAACUGUGCACAUCUUGACGGUACCUAAUCAGAAAGCCACGGCUAACUACGUG